This 253-nucleotide ribosomal RNA is filed under the name uncultured bacterium. RNAcentral's name for it is "partial 16S ribosomal RNA". It matches the Rfam family "Bacterial small subunit ribosomal RNA", at positions 524 to 776 of the family's 1533-position model. The record is from RNAcentral.
GACGAACCGAGCGAACGUUGUUCGGAAUCACUGGGCUUAAAGGGCGCGUAGGCGGGCUGUCAAGUCUGGGGUGAAAUCCCGCGGCUCAACCGUGGAACUGCCUUAGAUACUGACGGCCUCGAGGGAGGUAGGGGCGAGCGGAACUAAUGGUGGAGCGGUGAAAUGCGUUGAUAUCAUUAGGAACUCCGGUGGCGAAGGCGGCUCGCUGGACCUUUUCUGACGCUGAGGCGCGAAAGCUAGGGGAGCAAACGGG